RNAcentral lists this ribosomal RNA (428 nucleotides) under uncultured prokaryote. RNAcentral describes it as "bacterial SSU rRNA". It matches the Rfam family "Bacterial small subunit ribosomal RNA", at positions 355 to 774 of the family's 1533-position model. The record is from RNAcentral.
UGGGGAAUAUUGCGCAAUGGGCGAAAGCCUGACGCGGCAACGCCGCGUGGGGGAUGAAGGUUCUCGGAUUGUAAACCCCUUUCGAUCGGAACGAAUCCCCUCCUGGUAAAUAAUCAGGAGGAUCGACGGUACCGAGAGAAGAAGCCACGGGUAACUCUGUGCCAGCAGCCGCGGUAAGACAGAGGUGGCGAGCGUUGUUCGGAUUUAUUGGGCGUAAAGCGAACGCAGGCGGUUUGGUAAGUCAGAGGUGAAAGACCACAGCUUAACUGUGGCACUGCCUUUGAUACUGCCUUUCUUGAGUGCAUGAGGGGGAAGCGGAAUUCCGAGUGUGGAGGUGAAAUUCGUAGAUAUUCGGAGGAACACCGGUGGCGAAGGCGGCUUCCUGGCAUGUAACUGACACUGAAGCACGGAAGCGUGGGGAUCAAACA